RNAcentral lists this long non-coding RNA (19756 nucleotides) under Gossypium raimondii (Peruvian cotton). RNAcentral describes it as "long non-coding RNA (GRAI_LNC003381)". Lineage: Eukaryota; Viridiplantae; Streptophyta; Magnoliopsida; Malvales; Malvaceae. The record is from RNAcentral.
GUUACUCCAAAUCCGACGUUCGUAGAGAAAGACCAAGUGAACUACCUACGAGCCGCCAUCACCACCAUGUCACAGCCUCAUUUCCUCCUAGUGGCCUCCCCUGCACAAGGCCACAUAAACCCAACCUUGCAAUUUGCCAAGCAUCUUAUACGUAUUGGCGUACGUGUAACUUUCAUCACCUGCAUCUCCGCUCGCAGCCGCAUGACCAAAGUCCCCACUGCUCAAGGCCUAACGUUUUUACCCUUUUCCGAUGGCUACGACGACGGUUUUCAACUCCGCGAUGACAUCGACCAUUACCUAUCUGAAUUGAGGCGACGAGGCAAAGAAGCUAUCUCCGAGUUUUUAACAAGCAGUGAAAACGAAGGCAAACCCGUCACUUGCAUUGUCUACAGCCCGUUCAACCAUUGGGCCACGGAGGUGGCGCGUAAACAUCACAUCCCGACAACUUUACUUUGGAUUCAACCCGCCACCGUUUUUGACAUCUAUUAUUUUUACUUCAACGGAUACGAAUCCACCAUUAAAGCUCAAGCUGAUGAAACAAACCCCAAGCGUGCAAUAAAAUUACCAGGUCUGCCGCUACUCGCUACCCGCGACCUUCCGUCGUUCGUAACCGCUUCAAACGUUUACCGUUGGGGACCGUCGUUGAUCCAAGAACAAAUGGACAUCCUCGCUGAUGAAUCCAACCCCAAAAUCCUUGUUAACACCUUCGAUGCUUUGGAACAAGAAGCAUUAAACGCCAUUGAAAAUUUCAACAUGAUCGGCAUCGGACCUUUAAUCCCAUCUUCUUUCUUGAACUCAAGUGACUCCUUGGAUAAUUCCUUGAGAACCGAUCUUUUUCAACCCGAUUCAAAAGAUUACCUCCAAUGGUUAGACUCCAAACCAAAAUCGGCCGUCGUUUACGUUUCCUUCGGGAGCAUUACGGUGUUAACGAAGCAACAAGUGGAGGAAAUCGCUCGAGCUUUAAUAUCCAGCCGGCGACCUUUUUUAUGGGUGGUGAGGAACCGGAAAGAUGGAGGCGAAGAAGAGAAAGAAGAAGAUAAACUGACUUGCAGGGAAGAAUUGGAACAGUAUGGGAGGGUGGUUCCAUGGUGUUCGCAAGUGGAAGUAUUGUCUCAUCCGUCGUUGGGUUGCUUCGUGACGCAUUGUGGGUGGAACUCGACGUUGGAGAGCAUGGUGGCCGGUGUACCGGUGGUGGCUUUCCCUCAAUGGACGGAUCAAGGGACUAAUGCGAAGCUGAUUGAAGAUGUGUGGGGGAAUGGGGUGAGAGUGAGUGCUAAUGAAGAAGGGAUGGUGGAACGUGAUGAGAUCGUUAGGUGCUUGGAUUUGGUGAUGGGGGAUGAUGAGAAAGGGAUGGAAGUGAAGAAAAACGUAGAGAAAUGGAAAGGGUUAGCCAGGGAAGCCUCCAUGGAAGGCGGCUCCAUGGAUAUGAAGCUUAAAGCUUUUGUGGAUGAUGUUGCUCAAGGUGGUUGUAAGUAAAUUUAUCAUUUUCAAAUAAAUUCACUGUUAUAAUAGCAGCUAUAAAGAUUGUAACUUCUUUAAUUUCUAAGUUUAUUUCUUUUUUUUUUUCCAUAUCUUUUAAAAAAUAUAUGUAAGAUUGAAAGGCCCAAACAAAAACUCCUGUUUUAAGGACCCAAGAAGAGCUGGUCUGUUUAGGCUGUGCUAUUUAUUACUUUUUAGAUGAGUUUUUGCAUGUAAAAGUAUUUUUUUUGAAAAAUAAUAAAGAAUAGACAUCAUUUCAGAAAUAUUUUUAACUUAAAAAAAUACUUUUUGGCAGAUGGAGAAAUUAAAAAUUUUAACUUUUCCGUCUGCCAAAAGUGCUUUUGACUUCUAUUUACAUUUUUAACCUUUUUCUUCUCCCAAAAUUUUUAGUAUUUAUAUUUGGUAUAUAAAUGUUAUCCAUUUUUAAAUCUUUAAUCUAAAUAUAUGUAAUAUUUUAAUUUGUUAGGUUUAUAUUUUCUAUGUUACGUUAAUAUCUAAUAAGAGUUAUAUAUUAAAAUACAUUUUAAAAUAAAAUAAUACAAAUGUGUUAAAAGCAUUAAUUAAAAAUAAAAAAUAAAUUUUAAAAUAAUACAAUUGUGUCAGUAUCUAAUUACAAAUAUUUAAUUAUUAUAUUUAAAUAUAGUUUAUAUAUUCUAAUUAAAUUUAAUAAAUAAUUAAUAUUAAUUACUUAGAAAAAUUUAAAAAUAAUAUUAUAUAUUAAAAUAUUAACAAUAAGUUAUAAUAAAUUAUUUUUAUAAUUUUGCUAAAAUAUCAUAAUAUUAACUAAUUUGAACAUUAUUUAAAUACAUAUUUGUUACUUUAUAAUAUCAUGUCUAAAAUGGACAUUUUAUUUCUCAAAAGCACUUUUUGACAGCAAUAUCAAACACUCAAAUUUUUCGAAAGCAUUUUUUAAAAGUACUUUUCCACAACACUUUUCAAAAAUACUUUUCAAAAGCAAUGAAGAACUGACCCUUAGUCUUUGUGCCCCAUCUAUCCAUCUCAAUCUCAAUCAAUGCUUUCCUUUCUUGCCUCAAGCACUCACUCGUUUCAUGACCUAUCCUAGUCUUCCCUUUCUUAACUUCAUGAUCUCAAAAAAAAAAAAAAACCCCAAAGUUUGAAUUCCGUCUAUGAACUUCCUAAGCAGAAUCAGGAUAUUUGAUUAAACAUGGAUGCUUCCAUUAUCAUAUGGAUUAAGGGUGCCAGUCAGUCUUAUUACGCCCCUAAUCCAACUUUCACCAUUCGAUAUAUGAUUAUAACCUAUACAACAACAGUCAAAUGUGUUGUUGUCGUACCUCUGUCCCUUCAAAAUUAUCUUUACUGUUGCUAUUCAUGUCUUCAUUUGAAUUGAUUUGUUUAUGGUUAUAUAUUGCCGAAUUUGAUUUGUAUAUGGAUAUACAUUGCUGAAUUAAUUUAUAUAUUGUUAUACAUUACCAAAUUUGAUUUGUAUAUAGAUAUACAUUGACAAAUUUGAUUCGUAUAUGGAUAUAUAUCGCCGAAUUGAUUUGAGCUUUGGAUUACUAGUUUUGUGCAUGAAUUGAUUUAAUUACGAAGUCGAAAGCUCCGAAUGAACCUUAGUAAAUGUAUUGGAUAUUGAUGUCAUGAUAUUAGGACUUUCAGGGUGUAAUUUCGCGUAAGACCAUGUCUGGGAUAUUGGCAUCGAAGUAAGAAAACGUGUAAGACCAUGUCUGGGACAGUGGAAUUGAUAUGUGUUAACAUAUAAGACCAUAUCCGAGAUAUUGUAUUGUACGAGUUUUAUAUGAUUUUCGUAUGAUCUUAACUAUUUCGAAUGUGAAUUUGAGUUGAAUGGUUCAGGUAUGUGUGAAGUUAUAUGUUCAUGCAAUAUUAAGGUAAGUUUAGCACUUAAUGUGAUAAUAUGCAAUUAUAUGAGUUAGUUAAAUGUUUAUGUGUUUGAGAUUUAUUUGAAUUCAACCUAGUUGAAUUGAAUUAUAAAUAUCAUUGAGAUGAUUGAGUAAGAGGUUAGUACGAGAUGAUACAGGUACAUACAGAACCUAUUCGAGUAUUUAAUAGAGAAAGAUAAUGAAAUGGUAUUUGAUCAUGUUUUAAGACAUUGAGAAAGGUUUGUUGUAAUUGUAUAUAUGGUGAUGUUAUGUACAAUUAGUUGAAUUGUAUGUAUUUGAUGUAUUGAAUUAUUCAUUUACGAACUUACUAAGCUAUGAAGCUUACUUCGUGUUAUUUUCUUAUGUUUUAUAGAGAAUCAAGGCUAGCUCGGAUCCAAAAGUCGUCGGGAACAUCAUCGCGCUAUCGAACAUCUAAGUUGGUACUUUUGAAUUGUAUAUAUAUGAUAUAUGAGAUGUAUAGGCUAGUGUCAUUUUGGUAUGUUUUGAGUUAUGAUAUUAGCCAUGAGAUUUGGCUUUUAAAGGUUGGUGUGUAUUUGGCCAUAUGAAUUGGUUGUUUAAGUGUUGAGAAAAUGCAUAUUUGAACCUAAGAUGAAUUGAUGGUUAUAGUAAGUUAAAUUGACAUAUUUUUGAGUUAAUUUGGUACUAAAAUUGAAAUGAAAUGAACGAAGUUUAUUAGUUAACUUUUAUAUAGUAUUAUGAAUGUUGUUGAUCAAUUUGAUAAGUAAAUGUUUUAGGCAUGAUUUAAAUAUGUUUAAAUGUGAAAAUGUGUUGGUUUCCAUAUUGAUUGUAAAUUGGUUGCAGUUGAAAUUGCAGGGAAUGUUAGAUAUUUAUAAAGAAGUUAUAUUGAGUUCGCAAAAAGAAAAAUUCUCCGAGUUUCCGAAUUAGUCCCGAAUCAUUCUUAACUCGUAUUAUGGACCUUGAGGGUUUAUCUAAGGGACUUUAAGAUUAUUUUAUAUUAUAUUUGAUAAUUAUUUGUAUAUUAAUUGUAAAUUGUCCGAUAGGUCUAGUAAUGCUCCAUAAUCCUAUUCCGGUGACGAACAUGGGUUAGGGGUGUUAUAAUAAGCAAUUUUUGGUGAAAGUUAUAGUGAAAGUUAUCAUAUUGAUGGUUAGGUGUGAUUGACCAUAGAGUUAUAAUUAUUAUAGUACAAAGAAAAGUUAACUGAGUUGAUUAGGGUGUGAGGUGAAUAAAUUAACUCUUCGAAAUUUUAAUAGCAGGAACGGAAGAAUAUUUAAAAAAAAAUUAAUUUGUUAUUUGAUUUAACAUAUAGAGACUGAUUUAUCUAUUUUUUAGUAUAGCUAGAGGAUAAAAUGCAAUCUGACAUCUAAUACAAUGACCUCAAUAAUACUUUUACCUACAGUUGCUAAAUUUAUAACUAUAAUCGUAAAUUUUCAGUUUUGGUUCUUCUAUUAUGGUUACGUUUAAGAUUUAAUUUUUUAAAGUAAGAUUUAAUCUUUAUAAUUAAAUUUGGCAUAAUUUGAUUGUCUAUUUUUACAAUGAUAUUAGGUAGUCGAAAUAAUUAACAUAUUUUUUAACUAUUCUAAUUAAGUUUUUAAUUUUUUUAAAAAUACUAUUCUAUAAAAAAAUUACUUUUACAUAAUGAAUCAGAAUAAAUGUUAUUAAAAAUAUUCACAUCUACUACAAAAAAUAUUAAGGGUGCUAAUUAUUUGAGUUAACUAAUGAUACGACCUUUUUUUCCCGACAUUAUAAGAUAAUGAUAAAAUUAUAGUUUUUAUAUCUCUAUUAUGCUCACAUUUGAGAUUUAAUAUUUAUAUUUUAAAUUAACAUCGUUUGAUCCUCUACUUUUAUAAUGAUAUUAGUUAUCCUAAAUAAUUAAUAUUUUUAACUAUAUCGAUUAAAAUGAUUACAUGAAUUUCUCUUAAAAACACCUUUCAAUACAAUAUAUAUAUUUCUACAUGAAGUUCGAAUGGGUAUUUUUAAGGAAAAUAUUGAUCUCGACAUUUUGACCACGAUAAUUAAAGGUAUCAACUAUUUCAACUAACUAAUAGUAUUAUGUAGAGGGACCAAAUUAUAUAAAAUUAAAGAAUAGAUAUUAAAUUCUAUAUUUAAACAUAGUAGAGAGACCAUAACCAUAAUUUAAUCUAAAACAAAUUAUCUCUAACAUAAUAUAAAUAUAUUAACUAUAAAAAAUUUAAAUUUUAUUCUACCCCUAAAAAAUUAUUCUGACUUUACCUUACCUGCUACAAUUUUUAGACCUUACAUAAGAUUGUUUUCUUAAAUAGUGCAUAUUAUAAUAUAUAUUUGGUUUUGCAAUUGUUUUUAACUUCGGCUUUUAAUUUGUCACAAAUAAAAUUUUUGACUUUAUUAAUAAUAAUAAUAAUAAUAAUGGAUAAUUUAAAAUAAAAUAUAUUUAUAUUUUAAUUUAUUGUAUUGGAAUUAAUGAGAGAAAAUUUAUGGUCCUUAUAGCGCAAGAAUGUGUGUGACAACGUGUUGAAUGUUUAUCCACACAAAAUCCAAAAGGAUUCAAGGAUCUUCAACUUCGUCAGUGCCUCUCAUCACUUCUAAAAACACUUUGCUUUCCUUUCUUACUUACUCCAAAUCCGACGUUCGUAGAAAAAGACCAAGUUAACUACCUACGUGCCGCCGUCACCAUCAUGUCACAGCCUCAUUUCCUCCUGGUGACCUACCCUGCACAAGGCCACAUAAACCCAACCUUACAAUUUGCCAGGCAUCUUAUACGUAUUGGCGUACGUGUAACUUUCAUCACCUGCAUCUCCGCUCGCCGCCGCAUGACCAAAGUCCCCACUGCUCAAGGCCUAACGUUUUUACCCUUUUCCGAUGGCUACGACGACGGUUUUCAACCCGGCGAUGACGUGGACCAUUACCGAUCUGAAUUUACGCGACGAGGCAAAGAAGCCAUCUCCGAGUUUAUAACAAGCGGUGAAAACGAAGGCAAACCCGUCACUUGCAUUGUCUACACCCUGUUCAUCCAUUGGGCCACGGAGGUGGCGCGUAAACAUCACAUCCCGACAGCUUUACUUUGGAUUCAACCCGCCUCCGUUUUUGACAUCUAUUAUUUUUACUUCAACGGAUACGAAUCCACCAUUAAAGCUCAAGCUGAAGAAACAAACCCCGAGCGUUCAAUCAAAUUACCAGGUCUGCUGCUACUCGCCACCCGCGACCUUCCGUCUUUCUUCACCGCUUCAAACGUUUACCGUUGGGCACUGUCGUUGUUCCAAGAACACAUGGACGUCCUCGCCGAUGAAUCCAACCCUAAAAUCCUUGUUAACACCUUCGAUGCUUUGGAACACGAAGCAUUAAACGCCAUUGAAAAUUUCAACAUGGUCGGCAUCGGACCUUUAAUCCCAUCUUCUUUCUUGAACUCAAGUGACUCCUUGGAUAAUUCCUUGAGAACCGAUCUUUUUCAACCCGAUUCAAAAGAUUACCUCCAAUGGUUAGACUCCAAACCAAAAUCGGCCGUCGUUUACGUUUCCUUCGGGAGCAUUACGGUGUUAACGAAGCAACAAGUGGAGGAAAUCGCUCGAGCUUUAAUAUCCAGCCGGCGACCUUUUUUAUGGGUGGUGAGGAACCGGAAAGAUGGAGGCGAAGAAGAGAAAGAAGAAGAUAAACUGACUUGCAGGGAAGAAUUGGAACAGUUUGGGAGGGUGGUUCCAUGGUGUUCGCAAGUGGAAGUAUUGUCUCAUCCGUCGUUGGGUUGCUUCGUGACGCAUUGUGGGUGGAACUCGACGUUGGAGAGCAUGGUGGCCGGUGUACCAGUGGUGGCUUUCCCUCAAUGGUCGGAUCAAGGGACUACUGCGAAGCUGAUUGAAGAUGUGUGGGGGAAUGGGGUGAGAGUGAGUGCUAAUGAAGAAGGGAUGGUGGAACGUGAUGAGAUCGUUAGGUGCUUGGAUUUGGUGAUGGGGGAUGAUGAGAAAGGGAUGGAAGUGAAGAAAAAUGUAGAGAAAUGGAAAGGGUUAGCCAGGGAAGCCUCCAUGGAAGGCGGCUCCAUGGAUAUGAACCUUAAAGCUUUUGUGGAUGAUGUUGCUCAAGGUGGUUGCAAGUAAAUUUAUCAUUUUCAAAUCAAUUCACUGUUAUAAUAGCAGCUAUAAAUAUUGUAACUUCUUUAAUUUCUAAGUUUAUUUCUUUUUCUUUUCCAUCAUCUUUUGUAAAAAAAAAAAUGUAAGAUUGAAAAGCCGAAACAAAAACUCCUCUUUUAAGGACCCAAGAGGAGCUGGUCUGUGUAGUCUUUGAGCCCCACCUGUCAAUCUCAAUCUCAAUCAAUGCUUUCCUUUCUUGCCUCAAGCACUCACUCGUUUCAUGUCCCAUCCUCGUUUUCCCUUCAUUAAUAUCACUCCACCUUCUAACUUAAUAAUUGAUACAUGAUCUCAAAAAAAAAAGAAAAAAAAAAAACCCAAAGUUUGAAUUCGGUCUAUGAGCUUCCUAAACAAAAUCAGGAUAUGUGAUUAAGCAUGGAUGCUUCCAUUAUCAUAUGGAUUAAGGGUGCCAGUCGGGCUUAUUACGCCCCUCAUCCAACUUUCACCAUUCGAUAUAUGAUUAUAACCUAACCAACAACAGUCAAAUGUGUUGUUGUCGUACCUCUAUCCCUUCAAAAAUCUCUUUACUGUUGCUACCCAUGUCUUCUUUGAUAUAUAUGCAUAUUUUUAACCUUACUGAGCUGUGGACUUCAUUUGACGUGUAACCAAGUUUUUGCUUUCUUUUCUUUCUUCUUCUUAUGUUUCCUGAAUUUAUAAAUUUUUUUCCAUUGGCUUCUAUUUAUGUUUUUUCAAAGAUUAAUAAUUGAAUUUAAUUAAAAAUAAUUAAAUUGGUAAAAUAUAUAAAUGUUGAGGACAAAAUUCAGUAUUAUCCCUUUUAAUACCUUUCAUCGUACUAGAUCAGGUAUUAUCGUACCAUGAAACUUGAAUAAGGGUGGGUUUGGAUGGGCGAUUGGGUGCGGUGCGGUGCGUUUAGCCUACUUUUUGUCUCACACUACAGUAUUGCUACAGUGGUAAACGCACCGCCCAUCCAAACUCACCCUAAGCCACCACACAAGUUUAUGCGCAUGUGGUUUUUUCUGGUUUAAUUCUGCUUCUAGUCCUUAUACUUUUUGAAAGUGAUGGAUUUAGUCCCAAUACUUCAAUUUGAUCACUUUUAGUCCUGAACUUUUCAAAAUGUUCAAUUUUAGUCCCUAUAUUUUUAGUCUUUUGAAAUUUUUGUCCUAAACCAAAUAAUAGUAGUUAAAUUUGUUUGUUUAAAUUCAAUUACUAGCAUGUAAUUGUAGAUUUAAUAUAUAUUAUCCAUUUUCUUUGCAAAGUCUGUGAAAAACAAAAAGGAUUGUUGAGAACAAUCCAAACACUAUCAAACACAGUUUAAAAAAAAAUAAAACAGAACAGCCUAACAAAUACUACUAAGCAGACAAAAACACUUUAACAACAGAUUUCCCCGUUGUAUUCUGCUGCAGAAAAUAGCAGACCAUCCCAGCAUCAUCCAUUCUGCUUCAGCAGCAAAUCACCAAGCAGCUUUAAAGAAGUUUUUCCUUGACAUGCCUGCCUUUGCUAAAGUUUCCGCCAUUCCACUCUUUUUUUGAUUAGUGAUUGCAAACUGGAUUUCGGCAAUAUGUCUACAUUCAUCUUCAAUUUCCGCAAACAACUUCCUUAGCGACCAUUGACGAAGAUUCCUAUAUUUCAACUAAUUCAAUACCGUAUUCAAAUCAAGCUCUAUAAUCAAAGGAAGUUGCACCUUAUGAAACAAAUUUGAAAACAUCUCUAUUGCUACUUUUAUAGCCAUCAGUACUACCAUUUCCAAACCCUCCACUGCACAGUUACCUGAAAAAGAGCUGAAACAACCCCUUUCUCGUCCCGCAACACCCCUCCGCAGCCCGCUCUUUCAUCCAAAGAAACCCCAGCCACAUUAAAUUUCAUCCAACCGCAAGGAGGUGGUUCCCUAUCCAUAACCCGCACAUUCCCCACCCUUUUUAACCGGACUGCUCUUCCUUGGCCACCCCCACCAAUCACUCUCUGUGAAAAUACAUUCCUCAUAGACCACUCUUGCCCAUACAAACGAUCUCAAUUUUGUUUGGUAAAUUAACAAGUCAAGUGUUGUAGCCUUACCUUCAAACACUUUCUCAUUACGAGAAAUCCAUCCUGACCAACAUGCUGCUGAUACUGCCAGUAACCAUAGACUUUUUUGAAUGCCAGACAAAGACACUCUCCAGCACAAGGAAAAGAAUUCCUCAAAGUUUGCUACGACGUCCUUCCAUCUCAACCCCCACCAGCAAAAUAUACACGACCAGAAUCUUUUCACAAAGGAGCAUUCAAAAAAAAGUGAUUGGUAGAUUCCGCCACUCUCUCGCACCAUGGACACCCACUAUCCGAAGAGUCGAUAAUAAUUCCUCUACUAAUAAAAAAUUCUUUCGUUGGAACACGAUUAAUCGCCAUCAUCUAUAAGAAGCUACGCUUUCUUGGUGGGACUUUCAAUUUCCAGAUUCUAUCAAACUGAAAUUCUACCGUUCCCAUCCCAUCACACAUUCACGACAUUAGUUGCACGCCCAGCUACAAACGAACCUGGCUCGGAUAGCAAAAAUGUAGGGAAAAAAUAGUCACAGAAGACUAUAGUCAAACAACGUGUAUGCAAGGAAAAUACUAAACUAGAAAAUUUAAAAAGAAAGAAAAGCUGAACUCAAAAUGACUGAAGUUGCUGUAUUAUUCACACACAAAAUGAAAUAAACGUAGGCCUAUAAAUAGCCUUUACACCAUAACAAACUAACGUAAAAAUGUGCAACACUAUUGCACGAUCAUAACAAAAAAUAGAGAAAUAAGGAAAAUAACAAACUAAGCAUAGCACAGCAAAUCUAAAUUUAGAAAAACUGACUUUGAAUCAUUCUCCAACAUCGAAAAUGGUGGAGGGUUGAAUCCAGAGUAAAGUUGACGGGAUGUGAUGUUUACGCGCCACCUCCGUAGCCCAAUGAAGGAGCAAAUAGUAGACAAUGCAAGUGAUGGGUUUACCUUCGUUUUCACUACUUGUUAUAAACUCAGAGAUGGCAUCUCUGCCUCGUCUCUUGAAUUCAGACAUGUAAUUGUCUGUGUCAUUGCCGGGUUUAAUUUCGUCGUCAUAGCUAUCCGAAAAAGGUAAAAACGAUAGGCCUUCAGCAGUGGGGGACUUUGGUCAUGCGACUGCUGGCGGAGAUGCUGGUGAUGAAAGUUACACGUACGUCGAUAGGUACAAGAUGCUUGGCGAAUUGUAAGGUCGGGUUUAUGUGGCCUUGUGCAGGAUAGGUCACUACGAUGAAAUGAGGCUGUGGCAUGAUGGUGACGGCGGCGCGUGUUGGCGCGUAAUUCGUGAAGGAAAUUAAUGGGUUUUUAUAGUGAAGAGAGGCAUUGAUAGAAGGUGACGUUUGAGCUGACGAAUUUCAAAGAUUCCUAAACCUUGUUGGACUUAUCUAGUGUUUUUUCAAUGCUUAGGUUGCAGCUUGAUGCAUGAUGCUGUUAGAGACAGUUUCAUACUACACGACUCUUGGGGGUUUGAAUUUAAUUCACGAAUUAUAAUUUAGGUUAAACUAAACCCCAACACUAAACUAGUCAGUUUAUAUUUGGUUAAACUACCUACCAAGUUAUCCAUCUAUGCCUAAACUUUCAAAAUGGUCAUUCAACUAAUUGGGUUUCAGUUUUUUAUCCAUUUCCCUUAAGCAUAGAUAAAUGCCUUACCUUUGCAUACUUGGUAGGGUUAAUUUUUAAAAAUUAUGACUAAAUUGAUACAAUAUGUAAAAUUUGAGGAAAAAAAUUGUUAUUAUCCUAAUAUUUAAACAGUCACUUCAACUUUCUAUCAAACACUUAAUGGAAAUGGACCAAAAAAAUAAAUCAGAAUAGUUAGGUGACCAUUUUGAAAGUUUUAAAAGUUGAGUGAUAAAAAAAAAAAACUUAAACAUGUUUAAUAGUAUUAAUGUGUCGAACAAUUAAAGUAUCCACUUGUCAUUGUUUUCUUGAAUAUUGUGUAUAUCAUAUAUAAUAAAGGAUUGUAUAACGCUAGCUGUCAUUUUACAUCAUACCUUUUCUUCUCCAAUAAGAGAAUGAUAAAUUAAAUUUUUUCUCUUAAAAAAAUUCAAAUUCAAAUAAAAAUGUAAUAUAAAAUCAUAAUUUCAUAUAAUCACAGUUUCAUACAAUAUUUUCUCUUAGAAUAUAUAUUUAUAAUGUAUAUAUAUAUUCCAUUUUUCAAUUGUUUCUAACUUUGUUCUUUUAGUUUGUCACAGACAAAAAUUUUGACUUCGAUAUUAUUAAUAAAAAAUUAUUAUUGUCCUUGUAGCGGAAGAAUGUGUGUGACAACGUGAUAAGUAUUUUUCCAAACAAAAUCCAAAAGGAUUUAGGGAUCUUCAAAUUCGUCAGCCCAAACGUCACCUUUUUUCAGUGCCUCUCAUCACUUAUAAAAACACUUUGAUUUCCUUUCUUAGUUACUCCAAAUCCGACGUUCGUAAAAAAAGACCAGGUGAACUACCUACGUGCCGCCGUCACCACCAUGUCACAGCCUCAUUUCCUCCUAGUGACCUUCCCUGCACAAGGCCACAUAAACCCAACCUUACAAUUUGCCAAGCAUCUUAUACGUAUUGGCGUACGUGUAACUUUCAUCACCUGCAUCUCCGCUCACCGCCGCAUGACCAAAGUCCCCACUGCUCAAGGCCUAACGUUUUUACCGUUUUCCGAUGGCUACGACGACGGUUUUCAACCCGGUGAUGACAUAGAACAUUACCUAUCUGAAUUGAGGCGACGAGGCAAAGAAGCCAUCUCCGAGUUCAUAACAAGCAGUGAAAACGAAGGCAAACCCGUCACUUGCAUUGUCUACACCCUGUUCAUCCAUUGGGCCUCGGAGGUGGCGCGUAAACAUCACAUCCCGACAGCUUUACUUUGGAUUCAACCCGCCACCGUUUUCGACAUCUAUUAUUUUUACUUCAACGGAUACGAAUCCACCAUUAAAGCUCCAGUUGAUGAAACAAACCCAAAGCGUUCAAUAAAAUUACCAGGUCUGCCGCUACUCGCCACCCGCGACCUUCCGUCGUUCGUCACCGCUUCAAACGUUUACCGUUGGGCACUGUCGUUGUUCAAAGAACAAAUGGAUGUCCUCGCUGAUGAAUCCCACCCCAAAAUCCUUGUUAACACAUUCGAUGCUUUGGAACACGAAGCAUUAAACGCCAUUGAAAAUUUCAACAUGGUAGGCAUCGGACCUUUAAUCCCAUCUUCUUUCUUGAACUCAAAUGACUCCUUGGAUAAUUCCUUGAGAACCGAUCUUUUUCAAUCCGAUUCAAAAGAUUACAUCCAAUGGUUAGACUCCAAACCAAAAUCGGCCGUCGUUUACGUUUCCUUCGGGAGCUAUGCUGUGUUAACGAAGCGACAAGUGGAGGAAAUCGCUCGAGCUUUAAUAUCCAGCCGGCGACCCUUUUUAUGGGUGGUGAGGAACCGGACAAAUGGAGGCGAAGAAGAGAAAGAAGAAGAUAAACUGACUUGCAGGGAAGAAUUGGAACAGUUUGGGAUGGUGGUUCCAUGGUGUUCGCAAGUGGAAGUAUUGUUUCAUCCAUCGUUGGGUUGCUUCGUGACGCAUUGUGGGUGGAACUCGACAUUGGAGAGCAUGGCGGCCGGUGUACCGGUGGUGGCUUUCCCUCAAUGGACGGAUCAAAGGACUAAUGCGAAGCUGAUUGAAGAUGUGUGGGGGAAUGGGGUGAGAGUGAGUGCUAAUGAAGAAGGGAUGGUGGAACGUGAUGAGAUCGUUAGGUGCUUGGAUUUGGUGAUGGGGGAUGAUAAGAAAGGGAUGGAAGUGAAGAAAAAUGUAGAGAAAUGGAAAGGGUUAGCCAGUGAAGCCGCCAUGGAAGGCGGCUCCUUGGAUAUGAAGCUUAAAGCUUUUGUGGAUGAUAUUGCUGAAGGAUAUCGUAAGUAACAUUACCACUUUCAAAUCAAUUCACUGUUUCAAUAGUAGUUAUUUAAACAGUUAUUAUCGUACCAUGAAACUUGAUUAGGUUUUGCCUUGUAGUAAACAUGCGAAUGACGACCCACCACACAAGAUUAUGCAGAUAUGGUUUUUUUUUUUUUUUGUUUAAUUUUGCUACUAGUCUCUGUACUUUAUAUGAAAGUUAUGGAUUUAGUUUCAAUACUUUAAUUUGACCAUUUUUAGUCCUGUACUUUUUAAAAUGUUCAAUUUUAGUCCCUAUACUUUUAGUCUUUUGAAAUUUUAGUCUUGAACCAAAUAAUAGUAGUUAAAUUUUUUUGUUUAAAUUCAAUUACUAGUCAUGUCCUAUGUGUACAAUUAUAGAUUUAAUAAAUAUAUUUCCCAAUUGAAACAUUUUAAGUCCCUAUUUUUUUCGAAUUCUAAAAUUUCCGUCUCGACACAAAUGAUAGUCACUAAUCCAUUAACUAAAAUUUCAGUAAGUAAUAUGUGAAAAUAUCAAACUGAAAUGCCAUUACACAUAUGAUAAUAUGUUUGUUGCAUCAAAUUUUGAAAAUAACAGAAUUUAAUAAAUUUAACAAUUAUCGUUUAGUGAAGGCUGAAAUUUUAAAAUUUAAAAAGUAAGAGAAUUAAAAAUGACCAAAUUAAAGUAUAAGUAUUAAAUCUACAACUUUUGUAAAGUAAGAAUAAUAAUAAAAUUUAAACUUGUUUUUUUCUUGAAAGAAAUUGAAAGUAUAAUAUGUGAUAGGGAUGGGAGAAUAUGAAUGGUGUGAUAGAUUUUGAAUGUAGGAAACAAAGUAUCAUUUUAUCAGUUUAAUAUGUAUAACUAUUUAAAUAUGUAGAAAUGUGAAAAUGUAUUAUAGAAAAGCCUUUAUGUUUAAAUUUUUUUAAUUUUAUGUAUCUAAAAUUAUUAGUAAAUUUAUGUUUUGAUUACUCAACCUCAAAAAGUUACAAAAUGGUCAUGAGUUAUUAGAAAAUUUUCAUUUCAAUUGUUCAACUAUUCAAAAAUUUUUUUGUUUAAGUUAUUACGCUGUUAAGUUCUUUCUAAGUUCAAUUAAUGAGCUCCAACCGAUGAUUUAACAAUCGUAUGGUGGAUUAGUACUCAUCGACUAGUAGAGGAAAUCGCUUGAGAUUUAUUAUCCAGCCGGCAACCAUUUUCAUGGGUGGUGAGGAACUGGAAAGAUGGAGGCUACGAAGAGAGAGAAAAAGAUAAACUGACUUUCAGGGAAGAAUUGGAACAGUUAGGGAUGGUGGUUCCAUGGUGUUCGCAAGUGGAAGUAUUGUCUCAUCGUCGUUGUGUUGCUUCGUGACGCAAUGUGGGUGAAACUCGACGUUGGAGAGCAUGGUGGACAGUGUAUCAAGGGACUAAUGCGAAGCUGAUUGAAGAUGUGGGGGGAAUGGGGGUGAGAGUGAGUGCUAAUGAAGAAGGGAUCAUGGAACGUGAUGAGAUUGUUAGGUGCUUGGGUUUGGUGAUGGGGGAUGGGGAGAAAGGGAUGCAAGUGAAGAAGAAUGUUGAGAAAUGGAAAGGGUUAGCGGGGGAGGCCGCCAUGGAAGGUGGUUCCUUGGAUAUCAACCUUAAAGUUUUUGUGGAUGAUGUUGCUCAAGGUUGUUGCAAGUAAAUUUAUCUUUUCAUAUAAUUAUCUACAUUUAUAUCUUGAAUUCUUAAAUCAAGAAAUAAUAUGUUUAAAAACGAUCAAAUUCCUCUUGUUGUAAUAAUAAAAAUAUCAAAUGAUCUAAAAUUCGAUGGAAUGUUACAAAUAAAUUUCUAAUUUAUGUUUGUAUUAAAUUUACGCUUAAAUUAAUUUUGGCCUAUGGUGUAAGUUUUUUUAAAAAUAAUUUUAAUGGUCAAAUUUAAUUAAUAACACCAUCAAUUGGAUUUUAAAUUUUAAGUCAAACAAGAGACUAAAGUUUAAAAAUUAAAAGUAGCGGAUUAAAUUUUAAAAAAAAUUGCAAAAGAGUACAAGAAUUGGGGGUAUACUUAGAAAAAAUAUUAAAAUUUUCUUUUCUCCUCUAAUAGUAGAAUCUAAAGUUACGCACAUUUAUAAAAAUUAAAAAAGAGUUAAUUGUCCAAGAUAAAUAUUAAAUAAUAAUAUUUACAGACUCGAGUACAUGAAAUUUAUUGUUGGUCAUUGAAUUUAUCAUUUAACAAUUACUUUUGUUUUGGCUAUUGAGAAAAUUUUCUAGCCCUUAUAAUGUAUAUAUAUAUAUAUCUCCAUAUUAUUGGAUGUGUUACUUUUUAUUAAAUUAGAUUGCCUAAGGUUGCUUAUUGCGAUUAUGGUAAUUUGCUGCAUCAUCCCCUGACUAAUUCUUCUCAUUUCUAGUGUUAGCAUUCUUCUGCUUAAAAUCUGGGUCUCAUGUUGCUUUUUGAGCAUCACUAUACCAUUCUCCUCUUUAACCCGCCGAAAAAUCCAGUAGGAGCUUCUGCUUUCGAUUCUGGAGAAGUUGGCUCCCUCAAAAGUACCCUAUCGGCUUCAGGAGAUGCUGUCUCAUCAAAAGCCUUCUCCUCUUGCCCUAUUACGGAUUGGAUUGAGAGCACUAAAGCCAAUGAGAACACAACCAAAAAAAACUUUUGCAAUCCUUUUUAUUUUCUAAAAAGGUUAAGAAAUAAGUAAAGAUAUAUUUUUAUUGAUGCUUAAGGAUGAAGAUGAGACAAAAUUUAAAGAUAUUAAAAUGAGACAUUUUGGGCGAAUUUAGGGGUCGUUGACUAGUCCAGUGCCUAAUAGCCAUACACGACAAAAAUACAUAUAACUUCUCUCCACAUUUUCAAUGGUGAAGUUUAUCACUAUUAUUGGCGAGUUCAAUUUACUUCACUUUGUUUCACUUGAAGACAUUGUGGGUGAUCAUUAAUCUGUUUUAAAAUCAUUCUGACCUUCUCUGUUUGCAUCAUCUGCACCAAUAAAAAACACUCCUUCGCCUUUUAUAGGUCAAUUUUUUUCAUGAAGCAACUUUGAACGUUACUAAUUUGUGGACCAAAAUCUAAAUAGCUUUCUUCUUCUAUAAUGAAUAUUGACUGUUAAAAAUGAUGUUCUUCUACUUGUCUAUAGGUAUCGAUCAUAUAUAGUACUGAUUGCCAAAUCAUCACUUAGAGCUUGCUACCUAGACUUUUCAAAAAAAAAAAGUCAAAUGACUAGGCUCUUUCUUGACAUUUUUAAGACCCUAGGCGGAACAAUAAAUUGGGGCCCCUUUUAAAAAAAUUAAAAAAAUGUUAUGCAACAAAUAAAAAAAAUUGAGGCCAUUUUUUGAUCCGGUAAGAGCUUCUACUUUCGAUUCUGGAGAAGCUGCCACCUUUGAACUCAAAAGUACCCUGUCAGCUUCCAAAGAUGCUGCCUCAUCAAAAGCCUUCUCCUCUUGUCCUACUACAAAUUAGAUUGAGAGCACCAAAGCCAUUGAGAACACAACCAAAAAAACCUUCACAAUCUUUUUUAUUUUCUAAAAUGGUUAAGAAAAAAAAGUAAACAUAUAUUUUUAUUUAUGCUUAAGGUUGAAAAUGAGACGAAAUUUAAAGAGUUUAAAAUGAGAUAUUUUGGGCGAAUUUAGGGGUGGUUGACUAGUCUAGUGCCUAAUAACCAUACACGACAAAAAUACAUAUAACUGUUCUCCACAUUUUCAAUGGUCAUGUUUGUCACAAUUAUUGGUGGUUUAAAUUUACUUCUUUUUGUUUCACUUGAAUACGUUGCGGGUGAUCGUUUCAAUUUUUUUAUUUUAUAAUUUUCACAUAUUUUUUUCAUUUAUUUAAAAUUUCAACCAAACAAAUUUUCUGAAUUUUUUUUCUACUUUUAGAAAAACAAAAAGAAAAAGAAAUCUUUAAUUUUUGAAACUAAAUAUACCCUAAACCUUUGCCUCCGACUCAUAAGAUAUUAAGAAUAAGGUAAUUAUUUGGUACACACGAAAUGUAAGUUUUUUAUUCCACAUAUGAAGUUGGGAUUUUGCCUCUUAUCAUAUAUAUAUAUAUAUAUAUAAUUUUUUGAAUAUAAAUUAAAUAAUAAAUAAUAAAAUCUCAAUUAUAUUUAUGAAAUAAAAACCUUUCACUGUCACACCGAACAUUUCCCCUCGUGAUAUCACAGUAGUCUUUGUAAUCAUACUGACAAUCAUAAUGACAAAAGAAAGAAAAAGCUAUGCGAUAUGAUAUUCACUAGCUUGGAAGAAAUCGAAUUCAUAAAAAAUCCUACAAACUUAAUAGGUGUUUUUUUCAAGCAAGAAUAAUAAAUUUAGGGUCGAAAUUAAAUAGUAAUUUUUAUGAUAAUAAAAAUGUAAAUUUUAAAAGAUUAAAUCAAAAUUUUAUCAUUUUAGAAAAGUUAUCUUUUACUAAUUUAAAAUUUUAAAAAUUUCUAAAAGGUCUAAAAAUAAAUGAUAGUAAAAUAAUUCUAAAAUCUGUCAUAUGCGCCAACUUGAGUUCUUGCGUCAAAUAUUUCGUGCUAUCUACAUAUCCGCUCAUUUCUCGACACAUUGCAUAAUAAUUAUAACUACUUAGAACAUGAUUAAAUGCCAAAUUAGAUAAAAUUCAUGUCAAAAAAUAAUCAAAAUAAAUAAUAAAAAUAUAUCGAUUAGCUGCAUUAUCAAUGUGUAAACCUAAUUUAAUGUCAAACUUAAAAGUUAAAAAUUUUCUUAUAUAUAAUGGUCAAACUAAAUUAUUGUUAAAUAUUAUAAAUAUUGAUAAUUAAUAAUAGUGUCCACACAUGAUUUUAAUAUUAAUGGUCAUAAUGUGUCAAACAAUUAAAAUAUUGACUUGUAAGAUUGUUUCCUUAAAUAUUGUAUAUAUUCGAGUUUUGCUAUUGUUGGGAGAAAAAAGUGAAAGGGCCUCGGCUGUCAGUAGUGUUGUGUAACUAAACCUUAAAUGUGGCUAAUUGUCUUGCAAGCCCUCCUUAUUUAUUAUUUUCUUUUUAUUCCCCUUCAACUCACUACAUUGUGUUUAAACAAACCCUUAAUCUAUUUUUGUAGUUAAAUAAGCCCUUAAAUUGAUUUUUACUCAUAAAAUCCCUUUAUUUUAAUAUUAAAGUAAAUAUGUUUUACCUAUAUUAAAGGGCUUUUUAGUAUUUUAGCCCUGCUAGACUGUAUGUUGUUGAACCUGGCACCUACAUUGCAGAAAUUGUUUGAUUAUUUUCAAUGCAUAAGAACCAAUGAAAACAUAGAUGGAAGGCUAAUAUACUAAAAGGUGCUUAAUCUAUUACACUUUGUUUAAACAAGCUUUUAUACUGUUUUUGUAGUUAAAUAGGCCCUCAAACUAUGAUUUUUACCCAUGAAAGUCCUAAAUUUUAAUAUUAAAGUAAUACUAUUUAAAAAACAUAUAAAUUAAUUCGUAUUCUAUGUUGAUAUGAAUUUGAUGAGAAUAGUUUAUUAAAAAAAAUAAAAAUUUAAAAUUUGUUGAGAGUGCUUAUAUACAUGACAUGCUUAAUUACUAUUUUGAAAUUGCUAAUUACUUUUUUAGAUUUUAUGUUUAUGUUAAAGUGUAUAUAAUUUUUAUUGCAUCAACAAGAAAUUAAGAUAAGAGCUUGAAAUUCAAAAUAUAUUUACUUUAAUAUUAAAAUAAAGGGCUUUUAUGUGUAAAACCCAUAGGUUAAGAGCUUAGUUAACUACAAAAAAAAGUUAAGGGCUUGUUUAAACAUAAUAUAAUGAGUUGAAGGGGAAUAAAAAGAAAAUAAUAUAUAACGAUGGUUUACAAGGCAAUUAGCCACAUUUAAGCGGCACCCUUUCACUUCUUUUUCCAGUAGUCACUUAAAAUGGGAAUUUACACUUCAAAUCCCUAAAUACUUUAACUUAUUACAUCUCCAUUUGAUACCACUUGACACUAACAAAACAGUACAGUAAAAAACAUACCAUUUUGAUGUAUAUAUAUAUUCGGUUUUGUUAUUGUUUUUAACAUCGGCUUUUAAUUUAUCACAAAAUUUUCGGAUAAUUUUUUAAAAAAAUUAAUUAUAUUUUAAUUUAAAAUAUAGAAAUUAAUGAGUCCUUGCAAAGCAAGAAUGUGUGUGACAGCGUGAUGAAUUUUUUCCCACACAAAAUCCAAAAGGAAUUACGAAUCUUCAAAUUCGUCGGCCCAAACGUCACCCAUUUUCAUUGCUUAUCAUCACUUGUAAAAACACUUCGAUUUCCUUUCUUAGUUACUCCAAAUCCGACGUUCGUAAAAAAACACCAGGUGAACUACCUACGCGCCGCCGUCACCACCAUGUCACAGCUUCAUUUCCUCCUAGUGACCUUCCCUGCACAAGGCCACAUAAACCCAACCUUACAAUUUGCCAAGCAUCUUAUACGUAUUGGCGUACGUGUAACUUUCAUCACCUGCAUCUCCGCUCGCCGCCGCAUGAGCAAAGUCCCCACUGCUCAAGGCCUAACGUUUUUACCCUUUUCCGAUGGCUACGACGACGGUUUUCAACCCUGCGAUGACAUAGACCAUUACCUAUCUGAAUUGAGGCGACGAGGCAAAGAAGCCAUCUCCGAGUUUAUAACAAGCAGUGAAAACGAAGGCAAACCCGUCACUUGCAUUGUCUACACCCUGUUCAUCCAUUGGGCCUCGGAGGUGGCGCGUAAACAUCACAUCCCG